UACGUAGGGGGCAAGCGUUGUCCGGAAUCAUUGGGCGUAAAGCGCGUGUAGGCGGUCCGGUAAGUCCGCUGUGAAAGUCGGGGGCUCAACCCUCGGAUGCCGGUGGAUACUGUCGGGCUUGAGUACGGAAGAGGCGAGUGGAAUUCCUGGUGUAGCGGUGAAAUGCGCAGAUAUCAGGAGGAGCACCAAUUGCGAAGGCAGCUCGCUGGGACGUUACUGACGCUGAGACGCGAAAGCGUGGGGAGCAAACAGG
Molecule: ribosomal RNA, 253 nt
Filed under: uncultured bacterium
Lineage: Bacteria
Description: partial 16S ribosomal RNA
Rfam family: Bacterial small subunit ribosomal RNA
Source: RNAcentral